CCAAAUAUAGGGACAUUUAGAAUGGUUGCUAAGAGUUGAAUUCCUAAAUAAGUUCUUAUGGCAUACAGUAUGUGGCCAUAAAUGGUGGUUUGGCAAAUAUAUUUGUACAAGUUAGAAACUAUAUAUUGGACAUUUCAAUAUUUGAGCUUUUAUUUUACCUUUUUUACUCAUCAAGAUAUCAAUACCUUUUUUUUUACUCAUCAAGAUAUCAAUACCUAGAC
Molecule: long non-coding RNA, 221 nt
Filed under: Trifolium pratense (red clover)
Lineage: Eukaryota; Viridiplantae; Streptophyta; Magnoliopsida; Fabales; Fabaceae
Description: long non-coding RNA (TPRA_LNC008757)
Source: RNAcentral